GGAGGAAAGCAGGGGAUCGUAAGACCUUGCGCUUUUGGAGUGGCCGAUGCCUGAUUAGCUAGUUGGUGGGGUAAGGGCCUACCAAGGCAACGAUCAGUAGUUGGUCUGAGAGGACGACCAGCCACACUGGGACUGAGACACGGCCCAGACUCCUACGGGAGGCAGCAGUGGGGAAUUUUGGACAAUGGGCGAAAGCCUGAUCCAGCAAUGCCGCGUGAGUGAAGAAGGCCUUCGGGUUGUAAAGCUCUUUCAGUCGGGAAGAAAAGGUUGUGACUAAUAAUCACAACUUAUGACGGUACCGACAGAAGAAGCACCGGCUAACUACGUGCCAGCAGCCGCGGUAAUACGUAGGGUGCGAGCGUUAAUCGGAAUUACUGGGCGUAAAGGGUGCGCAGGCGGCUUUGUAAGUCAGAUGUGAAAUCCCCGGGCUUAACCUGGGAAUUGCGUUUGAAACUACAAAGCUAGA
This 466-nucleotide ribosomal RNA is filed under the name uncultured ammonia-oxidizing beta proteobacterium. RNAcentral's name for it is "bacterial SSU rRNA". It matches the Rfam family "Bacterial small subunit ribosomal RNA", at positions 198 to 645 of the family's 1533-position model. The record is from RNAcentral. Lineage: Bacteria; Pseudomonadati; Pseudomonadota; Betaproteobacteria.